GACGAACGCUGGCGGCGUGCUUAACACAUGCAAGUCGAAUGGAAAGGCCCUGCUUUUGUGGGGUGCUCGAGUGGCGAACGGGUGAGUAACACGUGAGUAACCUGCCCUUGACUUUGGGAUAACUUCAGGAAACUGGGGCUAAUACCGGAUAGGAGCUCCUGCUGCAUGGUGGGGGUUGGAAAGUUUCGGCGGUUGGGGAUGGACUCGCGGCUUAUCAGCUUGUUGGUGGGGUAGUGGCUUACCAAGGCUUUGACGGGUAGCCGGCCUGAGAGGGUGACCGGCCACAUUGGGACUGAGAUACGGCCCAGACUCCUACGGGAGGCAGCAGUGGGGAAUAUUGCACAAUGGGCGGAAGCCUGAUGCAGCAACGCCGCGUGCGGGAUGACGGCCUUCGGGUUGUAAACCGCUUUCGCCUGUGACGAAGCGUGAGUGACGGUAAUGGGUAAAGAAACACCGGCUAACUACGUG
Molecule: ribosomal RNA, 468 nt
Filed under: uncultured bacterium
Lineage: Bacteria
Description: partial 16S ribosomal RNA
Rfam family: Bacterial small subunit ribosomal RNA
Source: RNAcentral